AGAACAAUCGAACAGGAGGUGCUAUCUUUAGACAAGUCUCAUUACCUGUUUCCGCUCAGCAACUCUAACCUAGAACGGUUCUGGUCAAGUAGACCAGCUGGUGGGUGCUUACUCCAACACUCAACGUUCUCUGAAGACCUUUCCCGGAGCAAGCGUUUAUACGGAUCGUAAACCGGGAUAAAAGCUUCAACCUGUUUACACCAUGGCAGCAGGCGCAACAAAGUGUUCGCUGCUCCUCUUGUUCUUGAGCAUUCUCUGGGGGACCUGCACUGGAACAAUGGAAGCUGUUACUACUAAGGAACCACCGUCCGUAAUGCCAACCACUGGAACAAUGGGUGAUAAUACUACUACGGCACCAAUGCCCACUGCAACGGCAAUAGCUACAUUUGAAAGUGUUAAUGCAACUAGUUUCAACGUCAGACUCGUUCUGAAUGCCACAAUGUUUACCCCUGCAAAAUAUUGCUGGGAAUUGGAGAGGACUACCAUUUCUGGUGUCUCAACAAGUUCGGUAAUACAUAACAUCACUUCAUGUGUUACGAACACGUCGGGUGAUGUCACCAUUCCAUUCACUUCGCAGGAGGAAAACUCGACAUACAAUAUUACCAUGGCAUAUUUUGAAGAUGUGACACAAGUAAAGGCCAACAUUACGGCAGCUGUCUCCACUACCACUCCCAGUGCAAAUCCAGAAAUAGUACCCAUACUCGGUGUGAAUCCAGCCCCAACUUCUCUGGUUGUAACGUUGGCUGCUCUGACUAAUUUACAGUGGAAUGCAGCAGGUACUAGAGAGUACGUCGUGUCAUGUCCGAGAUCAUCACCAUCAGGACCAGCAACAGCAACAGUCCGAGCUACUGAUUCUAGCGGUGUUCUACUCCCUGGCAAUGUAACUGCAAUGGUUGAUGGUCUAACCCAUGCUACAAUGUACACAUGCACUGUAACAGCCCGCGCAAGCUACACACUAUCAACCAUUUACUCGAGCAGUGCUACUGUUGUCAUCGCUACCACUGAAGAAAGUAAGUACACAUGGUGGCCUUUAGUUUGGUACCGGCCAUUACAGAAUGUUGUGUGUGUGUUGUGCCCUACAGUACCUCAUGCAUAAUCAG
Sycon ciliatum is the source of this 1100-nucleotide long non-coding RNA. RefSeq lists it as uncharacterized. Lineage: Eukaryota; Metazoa; Porifera; Calcarea; Leucosolenida; Sycettidae. The transcript has 4 exons. The record is from RefSeq and is a predicted model, not a curated record.